CACACUCAAAACCUCGCGCGAUUGGCUGAAAAUUUUUUCAUUGUGUUGGAACUCACUCAAAACCAUUUUUGAUUGGCUAACUCACUUGGAAACCACCGCGGAAACUAUCGACAAAAGUAUAAAACGGUCUGUACCUCCCCCAACGGUCUCCUUUCGUUUGCCCUCACUAGAGUCUCGGUACUUGCAUCGGAGUUUACGAAGGAAUUAUUUAACAAAUUGCACUAGUUUUUACUCUUUAUGGCUCGUGCUCCUGUCUGUCGGAAGAAGGAUUGUUCUCCCUACGACAUUGGCUUAGUCUUCGACAAGAUCGCUAUUCGCCUCAGGACAAGUUGAAAUUCAUCGGAAAUGUAUGGAAACCAGGUGAGCUUUUCGAUUUCCCUGUGUCAAUAGAGAAUGGAAAUUCUCGCAAGUUUGUUUUAAACUGGCUAAAGAAAUAUCCAUGGCUAGCCUACUCUAAAUAUUACAAUGGAGUGUUUUGCUUAGCUUGUGUUUGUUUCGGAGUUCAGUGUGGGCGAAACGCUAAUAAGUUAGACAAAUUAUUUAAGUCUCCUCUUACAAAUUGGACUUCGGCCGCUUCGCGCUUUACAAAACACGCGCAAAGAAAUUGUGAAAUUCACAAAUUUUCUAUGAUUGCUAUAGAAGAAUUUAAGAAAAUGAUGCGAACAGAAGCUAAAUGAUGCGAACAGAAGCUAAAUGAUGCGAACAGAAGCUGUCCCGAUAAAUCUGCAGUUAAAUAACAUUGUUCAACAGCAAAUUGCUAGAAACCGUGAGAUCCUUAGGUCCCUUUUUAAAACAAUUAUUUUCUGUGGGAAAAACAAUAUCCCACUCAGGGGCUUGAGGGAUAGUGAUCCCACUAAUGCUGCCCUAGCUGGUAAUUUCCAGGCACUGCUUGAAUUCCGGGUAGAUAGUGGUGACCAAAUACUGGAGCAGCACCUAGAAAAUGCACCAAGAAAUGCGACAUACAUUUUAAAGACCAUCCAGAAUCAAAUGAUAUCAACUGUUGGUGCUCAUAUUUUAAAUAAUUUAUCUCAGGAAAUGAGAGAUAGUAAGUAUUUUUUUGUAAUGGCAGAUGAAGGGCUGAUAUAGCAAACAAAGAAAAUCUUUCUGUUGUGAUUAGAUUUCUCGACUCAACCAAAAACAUCAGAGAAGAAUUUAUUGGAUUUUAUAUUUGUAAGGAGGGAACAACAGGAGAGGCCAUCAAAGACCUUAUAACUGCAGCUGUAGUAGACUUAGGAUUGAUGAUGGAAGACUGUUGUGGCCAAUGUUAUGAUGGCGCUGGUAAUAUGGCUGGACGACUUAAUGGAGCCUCCUCGUUAAUCAGAGCAGAACAUGAGAAGGCAAUUUUUGUCCAUUGCAUGAAUCACCAGCUGAAUUUGUGUAUUGCCAAUACCUGCCAAAUACCAAAUGUCAGAAACAUGAUGGAUGUUGUGCGAAAGCUUUUUGAAUUUUUUGACAACUCUUCCAAGCGACAAGAACAUUUAGAAUUCAAGAUCAUAGAUCUUUUGCAAAAAAAAAAAGGUAUUUCGAUCAUACCCUCUGUUUUGAUUGCUACUGAUGACUGGAAGCCUAAUUUUUUAGAAUUUUGUAACUAUUACUGACAGGACAUGCCAAAUUAUAUAGGUUUACAGGCAGAGCUUUUAUUAUGGGAGAGAUUAUGGAAGGGGAGGGAUAACAGAGGAGAAGUGAUUCCAGACACUCUUAAGGCUACACUGGAGGAUAUUGACAAAGAUGCAUAUGUCAAUAUUUAUUUCAUGUUAAAGAUCCUGAUCACACUUCCAAUUUCAUCUGCUUCUUGUGAGAGAUCCAUUUCAUCCCUUCGAAAUCUUAAAACCAAUUUGAGAAGCACAAUGACUGAGGACAGAUUGAAUGGGCUGGCACUAAUGUAUACCCACAAAGACAUGGAUUUAGACCUGGACAGAAUAAUAGAUUUAUUUGCUCAAUUGCACCCUAGGAGAAUGAGAAUGGCAAACAUAUCAGCUUAAAUUUUUGCACCAUCUGUUUCUAGAGGGCUUGUGAGUUAUGUUCCAUCUGGGUCUUACCCUUAAACUGAUGGAGAACAGCUACAGAAACUCAAACUGGUGCCUGUAUAACUUUCUUAAAAAGUCAUUUCUAGAUGUUUUUUUUUUAUUUAGUGAUGAUUUCAAUUUUUCUAUUGACACUGGGAUUUCAUGUUAAGCUCAAAUGGUUUACAAACAUUUUCCUGGGCUCCAGAAGAUGCAGUUUCAAAGGAUAAAAAGGGGAGUAUUUUUCAAAUUAUAUAUAUAUAUAUAUAUUUUUUAUAAUCAUUUAGUACUUCUCAUUUUUAUAACUUGAUAUUAAUGUUGCAUUUUUCUCCAGAGCUCCAGUGGCUGCAGUCCCCAAGGAUGAAAAAGGGGAGUUUUUUUUUCAAAUUAUAUUGUCUCUAAUUUGUACAUAUCUUUUGUAUAUGACAUAUGAUAUUAAUAUUGGAUUUUUUUUUUCUCAUUAUCUUGAAAACUCCUGGACCAAGGACCAACCACAGGCUUGCCAUCUAUAAGUACCAUUUUUCCUUCUCCUGCUCAAAGACAGUUAGUAGGCAGCUAUAUUGGACAUAGACCAGUGGCACUGGUUUGGAUACCAGAUAUUUUUUUUGUAGAGCAAGGUGUUCCAUGUACCACCUUCAACAAAAUAAAACUUUUUUUGCCUUUAUGAUAGCAUGUUUUUUUGUUCUUUUUGGGGUAAUUAACUUUUCUGAAAAUGCAGAAAAUGGCAUUUAUAGAGCUUGAAAUUUCAAAUUUUUUUGGGGAGCACGCCCCCAAACACCCCUAUUGUUGGUGUUUCGGUGGAAACUACUCACUCAAAAACCUGGAUCCACCCCAUGCAGGCUACUAAAAAAUGGAGGCAAAUCCUAAAUUACUGAAAGUUUCUAAUUACAAACCAAACCAUGUUCAUUGAUCUAUGUUUGGGGCAGAGAGGAAUAAAUAUACAAAUAAACAAAAAGUCAAUGGGGAGCAAAGAAAAGGGAGAAAUGUGACUCUAUUUGAAAAAAAAAUGUUACUCUAUUCUAAAACAUUUAAAACAGUAAUGCAAUAAUAACUUGACUGAGCACCUUCCUAGUAUUUUUCCUUUUCCCUUUUACCUUUAGGAUUGAUAUAAAACUGUUUUCUUUACAAAUUUUUUAAUAAAAAAGCACAAGUUUGUUGUUAUCUUUAUAUAAUUAAAGUACUUUGAUCUAAUAAAAACCUCUUCCCUUUAUAGAACUUGUAUCAAAGUUACAUUCUGACCAGCUUUGCCCUUGCAAAGAAACAAAUAAUGAAUGAAACAGCAUUCCAAAGAUAUAAUGAUACAGUUAUACAUUUCAGGUGCCAUAUGGAAGUUUUGUGUAUAUUUGUUAAGUUGUGUAAGUUUGUGGAUAUUACAGUCAUACAUUACAUAUUGGUGCACCCACCCUUUAGCAUGGUGGCCUGCUGUUUUAUAGAAACCCUGGAUCCACACAUGCUAAUGCUACUCCAAAAUUAAAUGCAAUGGAGAAGAACAAAUUUACUUGGGAAGCAAAUUCUAAAAAAAAAUCCUUGAUAUUAAUGAAAGUAGGGCUAAAUGAAAAUGUCUUACUUCAAACAACCUAUUUAAAUUUAUUUAUGGUGCAGAGGGGAAACAGCCAAUAUUUUUCAAUUGCGUACAAAAAUAGUGAACAGAGAUGGAAAAAAGAAAGAAAUUGGACAAUAUCUAUGAUAAAUGCAAUAACACUGAUCCUAACAUUUUCCCUUUCCUCAUUAUCUUUAGGUUGAUAGAAAAAGUUUUCUUUACAGAUUUAUCAUUGAGAGCAAGUAUCUUGCUCUAAAAAACCUUUUAAACUGUCGCAUAAAAGUAAGAAAUCCCCUACUAUAUUAUCUUAAUAUUUGCCUAUUAUUAUGCCUUCCAGCCUUUAGAAUCAAUCAUGGCCCUCAGGUAGUCCUUGGUUGGUUUUACC
Molecule: long non-coding RNA, 3928 nt
Organism: Nematostella vectensis (starlet sea anemone)
Lineage: Eukaryota; Metazoa; Cnidaria; Anthozoa; Actiniaria; Edwardsiidae
Exons: 2
Source: RefSeq, a predicted model, not a curated record